Microcebus murinus (gray mouse lemur) is the source of this 1321-nucleotide non-coding RNA. The record is from RefSeq and is a predicted model, not a curated record. NCBI's taxonomy places the organism in Eukaryota, Metazoa, Chordata, Mammalia, Primates, Cheirogaleidae.
UGGGUUUCUGCGCCCACCCUGCCCUGGGAGUUAGCGGUGCACUGGGUCUGGCCCGCGGCCAUGGUCGCGUGUAUGUUGGACGCUGUCCAUGGAGCACCCUAAACAUCCGUGUAAACCCGUGUGCCCUGGCUGUCAGGGGCUGUCCCUGGGGGGCAGGCCCAGUCUCUGCCCCUCCAGACUGGUCUGCACCCCUGCACGGGAGACCGCGGUUGGGACCAGGACGGCACACGCGAGCACACUGGAAAGUGGGUGUCCAGUGCGUGGUCUUCCUGUUGGUGUCAGCCCCUCCCCACCACGCGGGUCGGCGAGUGUGUCGCCCAGCCUGAGCCCCACGCGCCUGGGGACUUUUUUGUGUUCUGGGCACAGAAAAUCCACAGAGGCCCGGGUGACACCAUUUCCCAGAGUGAGGGGUCCCCUCUGGGUCGUGUGAGGACUGAGGCGUGUGGGGCUGAGGGACAUGGUGCCCCCCCCAGGUGGCCUCUGGGUGUCUGAGUGGGAGCUGGACGGGCUUCUCUCCUCGGCCCCAGAAGUUUGGGUUCGGGCAGGUUUCGCACUCAGCUCUGCAGCCCCUGCCUGCAGCUCCCAGGAAGCCCCACCGGGCCGUGUGGGGAGCGGGGCCCACUCACGGCUGCGGGGCCUCCAGGCCGGCGCCGGGCUCUCUGGCAGCCCCCUGCAUGGGCAGUGCGGGUGUCCCCGCCAGACGCCGCCUCCCACCAGCAGUGCGCAGGCCCGCGCAGUCCCCUGGCCCCAGUGGCGCUGCACGCGGCACUUGCUCUGGACACCUCUCGGGUGGAUUGGUCGUUCAGCCCCAGGGACCAGCUGCGUGGGAGUCAGAUGGAGGGGGGGUCGUCGCCCAGAGGGUGAGAGGGCCCCGGGAGAGGUGUCCCUGCAGCCCAGGCAGCACGCGUGUGAGGCCUACAGCACCGCGGGACCCCAGCUCUUCGGGGCCAGGGGAGCAUCCUGACGAGUAGGAAGGCCCCCUGUUCACGGCGUGACCUCCCGGCCCCCAGCGCACGGUCCCGCCUGGCCUGGCGCUUGGCAGCCGGAGGCACCCAAGAGGGACUGGGGCGAGGGGAGGCUCACUGCGCCCUCGGCGGGCUGGGGCCGGGGGAGAAUCGCUGCGCCCUCGGCGGGCUGGGGCCGGGGGAGAAUCGCUGCGCCCGCGGCGGGCUGGGGCACAAAUGCCGGCAGAGCCCGCGGGGUGCAGACGUCGAGGGCCCCUGCGGAAGGGGGCCAGGCCAGUCGGGUAUCUGGCGGGUGCGUGUGAUGGGUGGAUUUAUCGGUUGAUCGAUUGGUUCUGUGUAACCCUGGAACCUCCUGU